AUUGAACGCUGGCGGCAUGCCUUACACAUGCAAGUCGAACGGUAACGCGGGCAACCUGGCGACGAGUGGCGAACGGGUGAGUAAUAUAUCGGAACGUGCCCAGUAGUGGGGGAUAGCCCGGCGAAAGCCGGAUUAAUACCGCAUACGACCUACGGGUGAAAGGCGGGGGAUCGCAAGACCUCGCGCUAUUGGAGCGGCCGAUAUCAGAUUAGGUAGUUGGUGGGGUAAAGCCUACCAAGCCUACGAUCUGUAGCUGGUCUGAGAGGACGACCAGCCACACUGGGACUGAGACACGGCCCAGACUCCUACGGAGGCAGCAGUGGGAA
Molecule: ribosomal RNA, 326 nt
Filed under: uncultured bacterium
Lineage: Bacteria
Description: bacterial SSU rRNA
Rfam family: Bacterial small subunit ribosomal RNA
Source: RNAcentral